This 405-nucleotide ribosomal RNA is filed under the name Triticum aestivum (bread wheat). Its description in RNAcentral is "partial small subunit ribosomal RNA". Lineage: Eukaryota; Viridiplantae; Streptophyta; Magnoliopsida; Poales; Poaceae. The record is from RNAcentral.
AGCAGCGGGAACCAGGAUUUCCGCGAAUCCGAUGCUAUCCUUGAGGAUCGGUUCCAGGGCCUGAACCUCCAUGGUGAGGAAGAGGAGGACCUUGAUCUCUCAGGCGAAGUUGAGGAAUUAAUCAAGGAGACACGCUGGAUUGCAAUAUUCAGGGUCCAUACACAAAGACCGUUCAGUCAUGUUGCGCUCUUCAAGGCUAUGCGUAAUGAUUGGGCUCCUACACAGGGAGUAAUCUUCAAGAAGAUGAACAGUAACUGUUUCCUUGCGCAAUUCAUGUGCUUGGGUGAUUGGAAUAGAGUGAUGAACGGCGGCCCAUGGCUGUUCCGGAAUUCAGCGGUUCCGAUUGAGGAAUACGAUGGUUUGACUAAUGUCCAGGAAUACAAGCUUGAUCGUAUACCUGUGUGG